GGGUACCGCUCCACCGCACUGCUCGUGUCACUCGGUACAAGUGACAAGCGAGCAAGU
RNAcentral lists this non-coding RNA (57 nucleotides) under unclassified sequences. The record is from RNAcentral.